AUGGGUGCCGCCGGUGGCCGUGGUGCCAUGCGUCUCCGUGCCGAUCACUCCAGCGUGUCCAUGCUGCCCGUAGGUGCCGCCGCCGGCAGGGGUGCCAUGUGUCGCCGUGCCGGUGUGUCCCUGCUGCCCGUAGGCUCCACCGGUCUGCUGGUGGUCACUGUGGCCACCAGGGAGCUUUUCCUUGAUGUUCUCCAUGACGCCCUUCUUCUCGCCGGUGCCGUGCGUCCCCGUGCCAGUCACUCCGGUGUGUCCCUGCUCCCCAUAGGUGCCACCGGUCGCCGGGGUGCCAUGCGUCGCUGUGCCGGUAUGUCCCUGCUGCCCAUAGGUGCCACCGGUCGCCGGGGUGCCAUGCGUCGCCGUGCCGGUGUGUCCCUGCUGCCCAUAGGUACCACCAGUCUGCUGGUGGUCCUGGUGGCCACCAGGGAGCUUGUCCUUGAUGUUCUCCAUGACGCCCUUCUUCUCGCCGGCGUGGGCGCCAUGCAACCCCGUGCCGGUGGUUCCAGCGUGACCCUGCUGCCCGUAGGCACCACCAGUGGCCGGGGCACCAUGCGUCGCCGUGCCGGCGUGCCCGUGGGUACCAGCGGUCUCCUUGUGGUCGCCGUGGCCGCCGGGGAGCUUCUCCUUGAUCUUCUCCAUGAUGCCCUUCUUCUCGCCGGCGAUGUGUGCCUGGUUCUCCAUCUUGCGCUGAGCUCCUCACUCGGGAAAUCUACUACGUAUUGCUGCUGUGUACUUGCCUUGGUAGUGUGA
RNAcentral lists this ribosomal RNA (747 nucleotides) under Triticum aestivum (bread wheat). Its description in RNAcentral is "partial small subunit ribosomal RNA". Lineage: Eukaryota; Viridiplantae; Streptophyta; Magnoliopsida; Poales; Poaceae. The record is from RNAcentral.